Molecule: long non-coding RNA, 488 nt
Organism: Arabidopsis lyrata subsp. lyrata
Lineage: Eukaryota; Viridiplantae; Streptophyta; Magnoliopsida; Brassicales; Brassicaceae
Exons: 3
Source: RefSeq, a predicted model, not a curated record
UACAUUCAUAGCACCUAAUAAUAGCACGAUUUUCACAUUUGCUAUCUAAGAUGAGUUUGUAAUUUGCUUACCAUAUGAUAGCAUUUGAUAAACGCUAUAAUAGAGUUUCAAUAAGCGGGAAGUAAAAUCACUUAUACCGCCAAACACUUAGCCAAAUUUACUAAAAAGCAAAAACUUUCUUCUUCUCUUAACACUUUGUCGCGACUCUCUUCUUCUCUUAACACUUAGAGAAACGAAACCCUUAAACCUUCAAAUCUCCAAAUCUAUCGCCGUCGCCAAUUCCGGCGGAAUCUCUCGCCGUCGCCGCUCUCUGAAACACCGCCGGAUCUAAUCUCAGAAGAGCUGAUCCAAUUGAAGGUGUUGAUCAGUGCAAUAAAGGAAUUUUGAAGCUGUUCUUUAUCUCCAAUCACAGUACAGUGUUGCUGAGUGCACUAAAGGAAUUUUGAAGGUUUUCUUUAUCUCUAAUCACAUGACAGGUUAAUAGCUUC